RNAcentral lists this long non-coding RNA (251 nucleotides) under Brassica napus (rape). RNAcentral describes it as "long non-coding RNA (BNAP_LNC010115)". Lineage: Eukaryota; Viridiplantae; Streptophyta; Magnoliopsida; Brassicales; Brassicaceae. The record is from RNAcentral.
GAUAGUGUCGCGGUUUGUUCUUCUCAUGGAGGAAACAGGGGCGUGGCCAAGUACGGCCCCUCGAAUCGUGAUGUGGAGCCGGAAAGGGUGGUUGGUAGGUUAAGUGUUUUAAGCCCGACUGCUCCCUUGGGAGGGCAGUCUGUUUAUGAUUGUAAUUCUCUUCCUACAACUGUACCGUCGGUAGACCGACCUUCGUUUAUGGCGGAUGCUAUUCAUUCUUCAUCGGGUCGGGGAGGUCAUCGAGGUUCAGU